Peromyscus maniculatus bairdii (prairie deer mouse) is the source of this 1681-nucleotide RNA transcript. It is a transcript of the gene named protein kinase cAMP-dependent X-linked catalytic subunit, with no coding region annotated. NCBI's taxonomy places the organism in Eukaryota, Metazoa, Chordata, Mammalia, Rodentia, Cricetidae. The record is from RefSeq and is a predicted model, not a curated record.
GCCCCCACCCCAACCCGACGGCUUAGACCGGUCCCCGCCCAGCCGGCUUCCGCCGGGAAUGAAGAGCGGUGGGGUUGGCGCUGGUCCCGCGGACCCCACACUUUACCGCGGAGCGCCCCAGCCAAUUCCAACAGAUCCCCCCGCCGUUCUGAGCCCGGCCGCGUGCACUCCCAUUGUCUUUAAGGCGGUGGGAGCUGGGGAGCGUGUGCGAGGCCUCUGCUGAUGCUGAGGCUGCCCUUGUUCCAUCUUCGCACGGUGAGUCUCCUGCCCCAUGGAGGUACCCGCAGCGGCCGCGGCAAGCGGAAAGGAUCAUGCGGCCAAAGACCACCCCAAAGAUGCUAAGGUCUUGGCGCCAACUGGGGAUCUGCCGGCCAAAACGUCAUCCCCGCACAAAAGUGGACACACGCUGCAUGACUGGGACACCUUAGCCACUGUAGGCACUGGAACAUUUGGCCGAGUGAACCUGGUGAAGGAGAGAUCAAGCAGGCGAUACUAUGCCUUGAAGAUCAUGAACAUCCCAGAUGUCAUCCGCCUGAAGCAAGAACAGCAUGUUCAGAAUGAAAAAGCCGUCCUCAAGGAAAUUAACCAUCCCUUCCUUGUUAAACUAUUCUGGACUGGCCAUGACAACCGCUUUCUGUACAUGCUGAUGGAGUUCGUGCCCGGAGGAGAGCUGUUCACCUACCUGAGGAACCGUGGCCGUUUCUCCUCAGUUGCUGGACUGUUCUAUGCCACCGAGAUCGUAUGUGCCAUUGAAUACUUACAUGCCAAGGAGAUUGUUUAUAGGGAUCUGAAGCCUGAAAACAUUCUUCUAGAUCGUGAAGGACACAUCAAACUCACUGAUUUCGGCUUCUCAAAAAAACUGGUGGAUAGAACAUGGACUCUCUGUGGGACACCGGAAUAUCUCGCCCCAGAAGUCAUCCAAAGCAAAGGCCACGGGAGGGCAGUGGACUGGUGGGCACUAGGCAUCCUUAUAUUCGAGAUGCUGUCUGGGUUUCCUCCAUUUUUUGAUGACAACCCGUUUGGAAUUUAUCAGAAAAUUCUUGCCUGUAAGAUCGACUUCCCCAGACACUUGGAUUUCACCUCCAAGGACCUCAUCAAAAGGCUGCUGGUGGUAGACAGGACCCGGCGCCUCGGCAGCAUGAAGAAUGGGGUUGAAGACAUCAAACGACACCGAUGGUUCCGGGGUGUGGACUGGGAGUCUGUGCCACAUAAGAAGCUAAAGCCACCCAUUGUGCCCAAGGUAACGGGUGAUGGCGAUACCUCCAACUUUGAGACAUAUCCAGAAAGUGAGUGGGACAAGAUCCUUCCCGUAUCCGACAAAGAACUGGAAAUAUUCAAAAAUUUCUGAGGACAGGAACGCACAUCUGCAAGGUGAAACUUGUUUUUUCUGAAUUUUAAGGAGCAUGAGAAAUUCCAUCCUGUGCCGAGGACCAGAACCAAUUCCGUUGCUUGUCUCUUGCCUUCUUGAUGAAAAACUAGAAGGAUUUAGUGUAUGUAACCACCAUUCCUUCGAUCCUGAGGAUCAUUGUCCGUAGGACUUGGCUAGAAGGAUUUAGUGUAUGUAACCACCAUUCCUUCGAUCCUGAGGAUCAUUGUCCGUAGGACUUGGCCUCUUUUGACAACUCAAAACCUGCCUAGUGGGAAGUUCUUAAUACCUGUUAAAGUGUAGCUUUGUCCCUUC